UACGUGAAACCGUUCAGGGGUAAACGGGAGAAAUCCUGAAUUCGAAGGGGAUUGGAUUCAAUUCGCUCCGGCUGUUCAGGCCACCUGGCCCCACCAGAUGUUGCUGGUCGCCCACGGCGAUUCAUUUCGCUUGUGGUGUCGUUCCCGGCGAUCACUCGGUGUGGGUGGUGUUGCUCUGACACUGGGUGAGUGCACUUCCUCCCUUGUAGAAACGUCGCGACCCGUUGGGUGCCGGUCUAAGGCCUGGGAUGGCAGACCAUGUGUCCCGUGGGGUAACCCACGGGUUCGUGGACUCCUGGUGACCCGGCCGGCUGCUCGACGGUAUGACCAGAGGAGUCGAUCCGCUGAAAUGGGAAACACUAUGGCUGUGUAGCGUCCGGCCCGGCGCCGACACGUGCGGGGAAUGAGGAGCAAUCCUAGGGUGUCCGUGCUGGUGCACGGCCCCGGCCCCGUUGCGUUGUCGGUUCAGUCGGUGUCCUCGGACUGGAUCAGUACUCCCGUCGGCGACGCCCACCUUCGGAUGG
Molecule: ribosomal RNA, 524 nt
Filed under: Anchiale briareus
Lineage: Eukaryota; Metazoa; Arthropoda; Insecta; Phasmatodea; Phasmatidae
Description: eukaryotic LSU rRNA
Source: RNAcentral